AGAGGUUCCUGGAAAUAGCCCCACUGUAAGAUCGUACCCUAAACCGACACAGGUGGACUGGUAGAGAAUACCAAGGCGCUUGAGAGAACGAUGUUGAAGGAACUCGGCAAAAUACCUCCGUAAGUUCGCGAGAAGGAGGCCCAGUUUCUAGGCAACUAGAGGCUGGGGGCACAAACUAGGGGGUGG
This 186-nucleotide ribosomal RNA is filed under the name Heterosigma akashiwo. RNAcentral describes it as "partial Bacterial large subunit ribosomal RNA". It matches the Rfam family "Bacterial large subunit ribosomal RNA", at positions 1601 to 1796 of the family's 2925-position model. Lineage: Eukaryota; Raphidophyceae; Chattonellales; Chattonellaceae. The record is from RNAcentral.